Mauremys mutica (yellowpond turtle) is the source of this 1630-nucleotide long non-coding RNA. RefSeq lists it as uncharacterized. The record is from RefSeq and is a predicted model, not a curated record. NCBI's taxonomy places the organism in Eukaryota, Metazoa, Chordata, Testudines, Geoemydidae. The transcript has 10 exons.
CAGAUUUAAUAUAAGUGAUCCAGAAGUGUGUUCCAUUAAGAAAUAGCUCCUGUUAGGCACUUACAGACUAGUGUAAAGCAUGUACUUUGCUGCCAGGCUACAAAAGAUGGUGCAUUAGAGCCUAAGAAGGAGCAGCCUCCACCGUGUGUGUCUGAUGGCCCUAUGUGUCCAGAGGAUGGUGUGGCUCCACUCCAGACUAGUGUGAGUCCCCAGCAUGACGGUCCCCUUCCUCCUGCCCAUGCAGAGCCUCAGACCAGAGAAACACCGAAUCCAAAUCCUGAACCACUUUAUUUGCAGCGCAUUCAUGGUGGAGUGGCAUAACUCUGUCCAGCCCAGCCUGGGUGAGAAGCUGCAGUUGCACCAGGAGCACUUGCUACUGCAGAAGCAGGACCUGGAGUGCAGAGCUCUGGGGGCUGAGGAGAGCAUCCAGGACCUCAAGCGUAAGAGACACUUGGCUGUAGGAGACACCUGGACAUUCCUGUGAGCACUUGGCUGUGAUCAGGGUUGGAAGGGACCUCGGGACCAAUCCCAACUAAAUCAUCCCAGCCAGGGCUUCAUCAAGCCUGAUCUUAAAAAGCUCUAAGGAAGGAGUUUCACACCACCUUAGACUCCUCUCUAAAAUGCUCAAGAAGUCAGCAGUGAAGCCAGCAGCGCAGAGUCCACCGAAGCAGGGAAGUGCCCCCUAUGAUGAAUGUCUCUUGGCCAAGCAGAACAGCAUGGAUGGAGGAAGUGCUGGGUACAAUCCACCGUGGGGUCUCCCUGAGACCAGUGUGCAUGUCCAGAGAAGGGCUGGAGCUACCUUAGUUGUAGCACCCUAGGGUGCUACACUGCUGCAUUCUAGACAGAACAUACCAGGGAAAUGGCUGACUUGAUUGGCUAAAUGAGGACAAAGCAGUAAGAAUGGAGGGUGUUAAGGGAAGGAGAUGAAGUACAGUCUUCCUCCUUGGCUUGUCACUGGGUGAAGGGAGGGCAGGAUGUCCUGAGUGGAAGAGGCUGCAUCUUUGGAAUAUGAGCAGGAGCCUGUGACCAAGAAAGGGAGCAAAAGCUGCUUUGAAACAGGUGGCCCUCUGGAUUCCUCAGGCAACAUGACCACUUCAAGCCAGACUCUUCAACCCCUUGGGAGCUCAUCAUAGUCCCUAGCAGUGGGACUUCUAGUGGUGUCUGUGCUUCCCAGGCUUACAGAGAGGAGGAUAUCUGCCCACAGAGGGAACAGGAAGAUCCCAGCAGAAGCUCUGAAGAUGAUACAAGGAGCACUACUAGUCUCCUUCCAGCAAUCACCCUACCAGAGGAAGGGGACAACCUUGAGGAGAUCCCUUGUGGCUCUCUAACUAGCCUGGAGUUGGGUGCUACUGCUCAAAUCCCACAGGAUUCUGAAGCAACUGACUGGAGUAGGUCUCCAAAUAGCAAUAACCCGCUGGCUGUAGGGAAGGAGACCACUGAGGAUGAAGGGGAGGCAGAAACUGUAGCAGCAGGUGAGAUGUGAGGGGGAGCUGAGUGCAGGCCCAGCAAGUGAGGUGGCCCAGCCUCUUGGCCUUGGUGACCAGGAUUCUGGGGAGACAAAUCACUACUCAGUGUGGUGCUCUUAGGACUGACCUUGCCAGCUGCAAACAUCUGUCUUUAACACCCCUUG